RNA transcript from Nerophis ophidion (straightnose pipefish), 4402 nucleotides. It is a transcript of the gene named tectonin beta-propeller repeat containing 1b, with no coding region annotated. The record is from RefSeq and is a predicted model, not a curated record. Lineage: Eukaryota; Metazoa; Chordata; Actinopteri; Syngnathiformes; Syngnathidae. The transcript has 27 exons.
CCACCUUCUUCCUGUGUAUCAGCCAAUCAGAGCAGAGCCUGCCUCCACUUCCGGUGUGGGAGGCAGCGUUGUAAUGGCUUUCCGCUGCUCCACUGUGGGAAAUGUUUGAGUGACUUGACGUGGACUUUAAUGACGCGGCGACACAUAAUGUUCCGCAUGAGCCGGCAGGUAGCAGCUGCUGCACCUGAUGCCCUAUUCCCCUGACAACCGCCUAUCGGACACCAACAUUCGGCGACCACCAUGUCCAUCACCCUGCUGUGGGCCGUGGACGUGUACGGUAGGGUAUACAGCGUCUCCACCGCCGGCCAGCGUUGGGAGCGUGCCGACGACGCGCUUCUGGAGCUUAAACGUGUCACCGCCGGGAAGGGGCGGUGCUGGGGCAUCGGCUGUGACCACCAUGUUUACCUCAACAUGAUGCCCCACGAGACACCCAUCCGCUACAGAGAGGAGACCUAUGAAAACCAGAGGUGGAACCCCGUGGACGGCUUCACGGAUACGCUGCUGCCCACCGACCGCUGGUCCUGGAGCGACGUGACGGGCAUGAACCCUCAAUCGCUCCAAGGCUUCCAGUUGCCGUCUCGCAGCUGGGAGUGGGAAGGGGACUGGUAUGUGGACCAGAGCUGUGGAGGAGAACCAAGCCAGACUGGGGCCUGGGAGUAUGCCGUUGACUUCCCUGCCAACUUCUCUCCUGACAAAAAGUGGAACUCUUGCGUGCGUCGUCGACGCUGGAUACGUUACAGGAGAUACAUAGCACAAGGCUCCUGGGCAAAGAUCCCCAUGGACCAUCCCUGGAAGGCUCCCCUGCCUCUCUGUGACAUCAGCUGUGGCGGCUGGGAGAUGAGUGAUGAGUCUGGGAGGUAUCCUUACCUGUGGGCUGUGUCUCAACAAGGACAGGUGUGGUUUAGGGAGGGCAUCCACCCUCGGGUCCCAGAGGGCACCAGCUGGGAGGAGGUAGAUGUGCCCCAGGAGGUGGCCCAGUUAUCACUCGGACCGAGAGACCUGCUGUGGGCUGUACUGUGGGAUGGGAACCUAAUGGUCCGAACGGGUCUCAGCCUGGACAACCCGAUUGGCACAUCGUGGGUGGAGUUGGCCUCGCCCGCAAAGGAAGUAGAAACCCUUCACGUCGCUGUAGGGGUCAGUGUCGUCUGGGUGGUAACUAAGGACUACAAGGUGUGGUUCCGGCGGGGUGUCAAUUCCCAUAAUCCCUGUGGCUCAGGAUGGAUCAGCAUAGGUGGCGAGAUGAUGAUGGUUGACGUGGGACUCAACGACCAGGUUUGGGCUGUCGGUGAGGAUCGCAGCCUGUAUUUCCGAAUGGGUGUAACGCCUUCGGAACCAAGUGGGAAUGGCUGGAUCCCUGUUUCUGCCCAGUGGGGCAACAGCAAAGAAGCUGCCCCUCCCAGUAACCAGCCGACAGAAGCCUCCCAAAGCUCCGUAAUGAGCUGCACUGACUCCGGUUCAGAGCGAGGCCCGACUGAGCCCCCAAACAGCACCCCAGUCCUGGAGGCGGCGGACCCCUCAGUGGUACCCUUAGGGGGAUCUGACACAGCCCCUCAACAAAGAGAGGACACUCCCGCAGCUCCCAAAUCUCUCAUCCCUGCGAGCGACAGCUUCAUUAACAGUCUCGUGUCCGACCGCGACAAAACAUCUACACCCCAACAGACCAUCGAACCUCAGGAGGAAGGGGGUCGGUUCUCCCCAGCACAGAUCCUCAUGAUUCCCGACGCUGUAGGACCCAUCACACCUUGGAGUAAUGUAGACCUGGAAGGGGCAGAGGCGUCCAGAAGCACACACACCGCAGCAGGGGCUUGCUCAGGCAAUGGCACUGCUGCUUACGGACUGGGUCUGGAUGGCUCGCACGGGAUUGGGGAGGACAACGGUCCUGUUUGGGCUUGGAUCUCUGGAGGAGGCUGCAGUGUGGACGCUUCCUCUCAAAUCAGCUGGCUCAGCGCUACAGGUCCUUUGGUCAGCUCUUUGUCACUGACCCCAGUGCAGUCUUCAGCAUGGAGCGAGCAGGAGCACAAAGAUGAUAUCGGCAAGAAACUUCUAGAAAGGAGCAACUCCAUAUGGGUGCGUAAAGGCACACUUCGCUGGUGGAGAGACUGGAAACCUCAGCGCUGGUUGGAUGUGGGCGUGGCUUUGGAGCAGUCCACCAAAUCGGAUGGGAAGAAGGACAGCAUCUUUUUUGUAUACUACACGCAAUACGAUGAGAAAAAGUACCUUCACGUCUUCGUCAAUGAAGUGACAGCUCUAGUUCCGGUGAUACGGGACUGCCACUAUGCUUUUGCCGUGUAUACCGGCCAGAGGAGCAGACAGAGGUGUCCCCUCCUCCUGGCAGCUCUCACCGAACAGGACAUGAAUGACUGGUUGACUCUGUUGUCUGACUGUUGCUGUGAGUGUCGAGGGAUUACUGCUCCCCCGUCCAGACAUGCUUUGUGGUCCACGACGUCGAAAGGGGACAUUUUUGUCCACGAGCCGUCCUUCUCCCUGGAGGCUGCCACGCACACACUGACAUGUGACCUCAUGUUCUGGCGCCAGGUCCCUGGUCACCUGCGCUGUGUAGAGUCUAACAGUCUGGGGCUGGUGUGGGGCAUCGGGUGGGAUGGCACUGCCUGGGUGUACGGUGGGCGUUGCGGGCAACAGGCCACCCCGGAUGCAGAUGCAGGUGACGUGCACCAGCAGACUGACGCCAGGAGCGUGCACGUGUAUGAGAAUCAAAGAUGGAACCCCGUGACAGGCUACACAGACAAAAGACUUCCCACUGACCGCCCCAUGUGGAGUGACGAGAGUGGACUGAGGGAGUGCACCAAAGGCAACACACACCCACCCUCGCCUCAGUGGUCCUGGGUGUCAGAGUGGGCCGUGGACCAGACUGUGCCAGGAGGGACGGAUAAAGAAGGAUGGCAGUACGCUGCAGACUUUCCCACAACAUUCCACGGACACAAAACCAUGAAGGACUUUGUACGACGUAGACGAUGGUCAAGAAAGUGUAAGAUCACAUUGAGCGGACCGUGGCAGGAAGUCCCGCCCAUCCCUCUGAGUGACAUCUCUCUGAUGCCGUGCUUGGCUCAAAGCAAGAUGGAGGAGGUGCCCCUGUGGGCCCUCAGCGACAAGGGGGACGUGCUGUGUCGGCUUGGGGUCACCACUCAGAACCCGGCGGGCACCUCAUGGCUUCACGUGGGCACCGACCAGCCCUUUAAGUCCAUCUCCAUAGGCGGGGCCAAUCAAGUGUGGGCCAUCGCCAAGGAUGGCGCCGUUUUCUACAGGGGCUCUGUGUCCCCCCACAACCCUGCAGGAGAGUGCUGGUACCACGUCCCCUCCCCCUCCAGGCAGACGCUGAGACAAGUGUCAGUGGGCCGCACUUCAGUGUUUGCAGUGGAUGAAAACUGUAACCUUUGGUACCGACAAGGCCUCACACCCAGCUACCCUCAGGGGUCCGCAUGGGAGCUCAUCUCCAACAAUGUCACCAAGGUCUCUGUCGGCCCUCUAGACCAGAUGUGGAUCAUAGCAGACGGAAUGCCGGGUUUCCCUACCGAGACCCCUGGAGCGCUUUGCCACCGACUGGGGGUGGGGCCUAUGCAGCCUAAAGGUCAACACUGGGACUACGGUCUAGGGGGAGGCUGGGAGCACAUCAGCGUGAGGGCCAACUCACUGGAGGCCCCUCGCACUCAGCACCCACUCCCACUCCCACCCGGACCCUCACUCAGCCCACAGCUUCCAAGCAGAGCCAAUGGGAAGGCAAUGGUGGGUGUUCCCGUUUAAGCCCCGCCCCUCUUUGUGUGUGCCGGGAUCCUCGUUAGACUACUUGGGGAGUGAAGGAGAGACAACGAGAAUGCAAACUGCCGUGGAUGUGAUUAAAAAAAGGUAGCGUGUGCUUUGAAGACUACGGAAAACAGCGAAUGCAUUUGGACUGGCAAAGCAGACUGUGUCACUUAUUGUCCACCAUGUAUGUCACGGACUCAACGUCUAGGUCCAAAGUGUAUAAAGUCACCAAAAACGAAUGAAUGGACAAUGAAGGUGAAGGCAAAAGAGUGAGGAGGGUCCUGAUCAGAUAUCUAGAUCCCUAGUUUGAUUGACGUAAAAUGGUCUUUAUCACAUUGUUUACGUUCACAUGUCUAAUAAAGAUGUGAUUAAUGUAUGAUGUCUCAGGUGUGAUUCACUACAAUAGGACCCCACAACACACUGGACUCCAGCUCAUUGAAAUACUACAACACUUAAGACCCACUUUCAUUCUUUGGCUUUUAACACUACGUGAGUUGUGUGGUCCUCUGUUCUGUUGUCCUCUGUGUUUUUUAUACACUUUGAUUUCUAUUUUACUGUUUUAAUUGAUUUUACCCUUUAAAAUACUUUUUAAUCAUAUUUGUUUUUAUAUUGUUUUAUAUUCAUUUAUUUUUUGUUUUUAUUC